RNAcentral lists this ribosomal RNA (300 nucleotides) under uncultured bacterium. RNAcentral describes it as "bacterial SSU rRNA". It matches the Rfam family "Bacterial small subunit ribosomal RNA", at positions 28 to 320 of the family's 1533-position model. The record is from RNAcentral.
GAUGAACGCUGGCGGCGUGCUUAACACAUGCAAGUCGAACGAAGACAUCUGAGUGCUUGCACUUGGAUGGACUGAGUGGCGGACGGGUGAGUAACGCGUGGGUAACCUGCCUUAUACAGGGGGAUAACAGUUGGAAACGACUGCUAAUACCGCAUAAGCGCACGGUAUCGCAUGAUACAGUGUGAAAAACUCCGGUGGUAUAAGAUGGACCCGCGUCUGAUUAGCUUGUUGGUGAGGUAACGGCCCACCAAGGCGACGAUCAGUAGCCGGCCUGAGAGGGUNAACGGCCACAUUGGGACU